Molecule: ribosomal RNA, 436 nt
Filed under: uncultured Rozellomycota
Lineage: Eukaryota; Fungi; Rozellomycota
Description: bacterial SSU rRNA
Rfam family: Eukaryotic small subunit ribosomal RNA
Source: RNAcentral
GGCAAGUCUGGUGCCAGCAGCCGCGGUAAUUCCAGCUCCAAUAGCGUAUAUUAAAGUUGUUGCAGUUAAAAGCUCGUAGUUGAACUUUAGGCAAGGCGGCCUGGUCACCCACUGGGUGUACUGGGCUCGCCGCGCCUCACCUUCGGGGAACUAGCUGUGCUUCGGUGCACUAGGGAACCGAGCCUUACUUUGAAGAAUUAGAGUGUUUAAAGCAGGCUUACGCUUGAAUACAUCAGCAUGGAAUAACAAGAUAUGGAAGAUGGAAGAUCUUGUUGGUUUAAUCCAUUUUAAUGAUUAAUAGGAUCAGUUGGGGCAUUAGUAUUCAAUAGUCAGAGGUGAAAUUCUUGGAUUUAUUGAAGACUAACGAGAGCGAAAGCAUUUGCCAAGGAUGAAUUCAUUAAUCAAGAACGAAAGUUAGGGGAUCGAAGAUGAUUAG